This 237-nucleotide long non-coding RNA is filed under the name Elaeis guineensis (African oil palm). RNAcentral's name for it is "long non-coding RNA (EGUI_LNC015884)". The record is from RNAcentral. Lineage: Eukaryota; Viridiplantae; Streptophyta; Magnoliopsida; Arecales; Arecaceae.
CUGAACUUCUGGAGCAUGUGUAUAAGUAUAUUCGCAUAGAUGAAGCUGCUUCUGACCGACGCCAAACAAAUGAAAAAGGUCAGAAGAAGAAAGAAAAGAAAAGUGAAGCUUCGACCGAAUCAAGUAGGCCGACUAUCAACAAAAGAGCUUCACCUCGACGACAGAGUCCAAAGUCGAACAACUACGGCAGGUAUGACUUCACUCCUCUCUCUACUCCCCGUGCGCAGAUCCUGAUGG